Molecule: unclassified non-coding RNA, 215 nt
Filed under: Hevea brasiliensis (rubber tree)
Lineage: Eukaryota; Viridiplantae; Streptophyta; Magnoliopsida; Malpighiales; Euphorbiaceae
Source: RNAcentral
ACUUCUCUUGCCACCAUAUUUACAAUUUCAACUUUCAUUCCAUAUUUCCUAACACAAAUAAUAGGGCAGAUUGUAGAACCAAACCAUGUACCGUAUUUUUAGGCUUCUGAUUCCACCAUUCAUUAAUAGGGAAAGUGCACAAGCAAUACAUCUAAUAGAAAUUCUUAGGCUAUGCAAAUUUAGUGAUACAUCAAGCAUCUCUAGCAAACAAGUCG